RNAcentral lists this ribosomal RNA (423 nucleotides) under uncultured bacterium. Its description in RNAcentral is "bacterial SSU rRNA". It matches the Rfam family "Bacterial small subunit ribosomal RNA", at positions 207 to 622 of the family's 1533-position model. The record is from RNAcentral.
AAGACCUUGCGCUUUUGGAGCGGCCGAKGCCUGAUUAGCUUGUUGAUGAGGUAAAAGCUCACCAAGGCUUCGAUCAGUAGCUGGUCUGAGAGGACGACCAGCCACACUGGGACUGAGACACGGCCCAAACUCCUACGGGAAGCAGCAGUGGGGAAUUUUGGACAAUGGGGGCAACCCUGAUCCAGCCAUGCCGCGUGAGUGAAGAAGGCCUUCGGGUUGUAAAGCUCUUUCAGCCGGAACGAAACGGUCACGGCUAAUACCUAUAACUACUAACAAUACCGAAAGAAGAAACACCAACUAACUACAUACCAACAACCACGAUAAUACAUAGAAUGCGAGCGUUAAUCGGAAUUACUGGGCGUAAAGCGUGCGCAGGCGGUUUUGUAAGUCAGAUGUGAAAUCCCCGGGCUUAACCUGGGAACU